CCGGGUUGCGGACAGUGUCUGGUGGGUAGUUUGACUGGGGCGGUCUCCUCCUAAAGAGUAACGGAGGAGCACGAAGGUUGGCUAAUCCUGGUCGGACAUCAGGAGGUUAGUGCAAUGGCAUAAGCCAGCUUGACUGCGAGCGUGACGGCGCGAGCAGGUGCGAAAGCAGGUCAUAGUGAUCCGGUGGUUCUGAAUGGAAGGGCCAUCGCUCAACGGAUAAAAGGUACUCCGGGGAUAACAGGCUGAUACCGCCCAAGAGUUCAUAUCGACGGCGGUGUUUGGCACCUCGAUGUCGGCUCAUCACAUCCUGGGGCUGAAGUAGGUCCCAAGGGUAUGGCUGUUCGCCAUUUAAAGUGGUACGCGAGCUGGGUUUAGAACGUCGUGAGACAGUUCGGUCCCUAUCUGCCGUGGGCGCUGGAGAAUUGAGGGGGGCUGCUCCUAGUACGAGAGGACCGGAGUGGACGCAUCACUGGUGUUCGGGUUGUCAUGCCAAUGGCACUGCCCGGUAGCUAAAUGCGGAAGAGAUAAGUGCUGAAAGCAUCUAAGCACGAAACUUGCCCCGAGAUGAGUUCUCCCUGACUCCUUGAGAGUCCUGAAGGAACGUUGAAGACGACGACGUUGAUAGGCCGGGUGUGUAAGCGCAGCGAUGCGUUGAGCUAACCGGUACUAAUGAACCGUGAGGCUUAACCUUACAACGCCGAAG
RNAcentral lists this ribosomal RNA (703 nucleotides) under Escherichia coli. RNAcentral describes it as "bacterial LSU rRNA". It matches the Rfam family "Bacterial large subunit ribosomal RNA", at positions 2240 to 2925 of the family's 2925-position model. Lineage: Bacteria; Pseudomonadati; Pseudomonadota; Gammaproteobacteria; Enterobacterales; Enterobacteriaceae. The record is from RNAcentral.